UACGUAGGGGGCAAGCGUUGUCCGGAAUCAUUGGGCGUAAAGAGCGUGUAGGCGGCCCGAUAAGUCCGCUGUGAAAGUCCAGGGCUCAACUCUGGGAUGCCGGUGGAUACUGUCGGGCUCGAGUCCGGAAGAGGAGUGUGGAAUUCCUGGUGUAGCGGUGAAAUGCGCAGAUAUCAGGAGGAACACCAAUGGCGAAGGCAGCACUCUGGGACGUGACUGACGCUGAGACGCGAAAGCGUGGGGAGCAAACAGG
RNAcentral lists this ribosomal RNA (253 nucleotides) under uncultured bacterium. Its description in RNAcentral is "partial 16S ribosomal RNA". It matches the Rfam family "Bacterial small subunit ribosomal RNA", at positions 524 to 776 of the family's 1533-position model. The record is from RNAcentral.